Molecule: transfer RNA, 85 nt
Filed under: Felis catus (domestic cat)
Lineage: Eukaryota; Metazoa; Chordata; Mammalia; Carnivora; Felidae
Rfam family: tRNA
About the family: Transfer RNA (tRNA) molecules are approximately 80 nucleotides in length. Their secondary structure includes four short double-helical elements and three loops (D, anti-codon, and T loops). Further hydrogen bonds mediate the characteristic L-shaped molecular structure. tRNAs have two regions of fundamental functional importance: the anti-codon, which is responsible for specific mRNA codon recognition, and the 3' end, to which the tRNAs corresponding amino acid is attached (by aminoacyl-tRNA synthetases). tRNAs cope with the degeneracy of the genetic code in two manners: having more than one tRNA (with a specific anti-codon) for a particular amino acid; and 'wobble' base-pairing, i.e. permitting non-standard base-pairing at the 3rd anti-codon position.
Source: Rfam by way of RNAcentral
GCCUGGGUGGCUCAGUCAGUUAAGCGUCUGACUUCGGCUCAGGUCAUGAUCUUGUGGUUCGUGGGUUCAAGUCCCGUGUCAGGCU